RNAcentral lists this ribosomal RNA (341 nucleotides) under uncultured bacterium. RNAcentral describes it as "bacterial SSU rRNA". It matches the Rfam family "Bacterial small subunit ribosomal RNA", at positions 457 to 793 of the family's 1533-position model. The record is from RNAcentral.
UAGCGUAUUCGUUUGACGUUAGCGACAGAAGAAAGCACCGGCUAACUCCGUGCCAGCAGCCGCGGUAAUACGGAGGGUGCGAGCGUUAAUCGGAAUUACUGGGCGUAAAGCGCAUGCAGGUGGUUUGUUAAGUCAGAUGUGAAAGCCCGGGGCUCAACCUCGGAAUAGCAUUUGAAACUGGCAGACUAGAGUACUGUAGAGGGGGGUAGGAAUUUCAGGUGUAGCGGUGAAAUAGCGUAGAGAUCUGAAGGAAUACCGGUGGCGAAGGCGGCCCCCUCGGACAGAUACUGACACUCAGAUGCGAAAGCGUGGGGAGCAAACAGGAUUAGAUACCCUGGUAG